GUAGCAAAAUAAUUUGUCUCUUAAUUGGAAACUGGUAUGAAUGGUUUAACAUAUGUUUAGGGUUUAUUUUAAGGUAUUUAAAUUUAUAGUUUACGUAAAAAUACGUAAGUAAAAUAAAGGGACGAUAAGACCCUAAAAGCUUUAUCAUUUAAGUAUUUUAGUUUUUGUCGUAAAUUUAAAAUUUUAAAAAUGUGUUAGCUGGGGUAGUGUUAUUUUAUUAACAGAUAAAUUUAAAAACUGUUAGGGGUUUAUGUUUCUUAUAAUUAAGAGAGGUUGUAUUAGUUACUUUAGGGAUAACAGCACUAUAAUAACAGUAAGAUCUUAUUUAUGUUUAGUGAUUGUGACCUCGAUGUUGAAUUAAUUCUCUGUGUAGGGCAAAGAUUACACGUGAAAGUUUGUUCAACUUUUGAAGUUUU
RNAcentral lists this ribosomal RNA (416 nucleotides) under Bousfieldia phoenixae. Its description in RNAcentral is "partial 16S ribosomal RNA". Lineage: Eukaryota; Metazoa; Arthropoda; Malacostraca; Amphipoda; Talitridae. The record is from RNAcentral.